Molecule: small nuclear RNA, 131 nt
Filed under: Teladorsagia circumcincta
Lineage: Eukaryota; Metazoa; Nematoda; Chromadorea; Rhabditida; Trichostrongylidae
Description: U4 spliceosomal RNA
Source: RNAcentral
CCCCCUGGGGGCGUUCAAAAAUUGCGUAUGACACCCAUGUUUCAGGGGCCAUCGCGGGCAAUUGGGAAAAGUUUUCAACCAGCAAUCUCGGCAGAGCCUCAUUGGUCACGUUAUCGCCUCUGCGCAAAGCU